RNAcentral lists this ribosomal RNA (481 nucleotides) under uncultured bacterium. RNAcentral describes it as "bacterial SSU rRNA". It matches the Rfam family "Bacterial small subunit ribosomal RNA", at positions 37 to 507 of the family's 1533-position model. The record is from RNAcentral.
UGGCGGCAUGCCUAACACAUGCAAGUCGAACGGCAGCACGGGAGCUUGCUCCUGGUGGCGAGUGGCGGACGGGUGAGUAAUGCAUAGGAAUCUGCCCAGUAGCGGGGGACAACCCGGGGAAACUCGGGCUAAUACCGGAUACGUCGUCGGAGCUCUAGGGCUCUGACGGGAAAGGCCUGCAAGGGCUACCAGAGGACGAGCUCGCGGCCCAUCAGCUAGUUGGUGAGGUAAUGGCUCACCAAGGCGAAGACGGGUAGCUGGUCUGAGAGGAUGAUCAGCCACACUGGAACUGAGACACGGUCCAGACUCCUACGGGAGGCAGCAGUGGGGAAUAUUGCGCAAUGGGCGAAAGCCUGACGCAGCCACGCCGCGUGUGCGAUGAAGGUCUUCGGAUCGUAAAGCACUGUGGGGGGAGAAGAACAAAGCUGGUGAAGAGCCAGCCCUGACGGUAUCCCCUUAGCAAGCACCGGCUAACUCCGUG